Molecule: ribosomal RNA, 451 nt
Filed under: uncultured bacterium
Lineage: Bacteria
Description: bacterial SSU rRNA
Rfam family: Bacterial small subunit ribosomal RNA
Source: RNAcentral
CAGCAGUGGGGAAUUUUGGACAAUGGGGGCAACCCUGAUCCAGCAAUGCCGCGUGAGUGAAGAAGGCCUUCGGGUUGUAAAGCUCUUUUGUCAGGGAAGAAACACCGGCUCUAACACAGUCCGGGAAUGACGGUACCUGAAGAAUAAGCACCGGCUAACUACGUGCCAGCAGCCGCGGUAAUACGUAGGGUGCGAGCGUUAAUCGGAAUUACUGGGCGUAAAGCGUGCGCAGGCGGUUAUACAAGACAGGCGUGAAAUCCCCGGGCUUAACCUGGGAAUGGCGCCUGUGACUGUAUAGCUAGAGUGUGUCAGAGGGGGUAGAAUUCCACGUGUAGCAGUGAAAUGCGUAGAUAUGUGGAGGAAUACCAAUGGCGAAGGCAGCCCCCUGGGAUAACACUGACGCUCAUGCACGAAAGCGUGGGGACGCAAACAGGAUUAGAUACCCUGGUAG